CUUGGUGCCUCACUGUGGCAAGACGACCCGCUAGACUUAAGCAUAUUAAUCAGCGGAGGAAAAGAAACUAACUAGGAUUCCCUCAGUAACUGCGAGUGAAGCGGGAUGAGCUCAAUGUGUGAAUUGGCCAGGGGUAGCCCUCUGUGUCCGAGUUGUGCACUAAGGACACUCUGUCGGCAGGGCUUGGGGCGGAAGUGCCAAUGAAACAUGGCAUCAGAGAGGGUCAUAGUCCCGUGCUUGCCCAAUCCAAGCCUGUGUGCAGCGAGGAGUGCUCCACGAGUCGCAUAGUUUGGUAAUGCUAUGCCAAGUGGGAGGUAGAGCCCUUCUAAAGCUAAAUAUGAUGACGUGACCGAUAGUUCACAAGUACCGCGAGGGAAAGGUGAAAGUAACCAUGUAGAAUGGGUUGAAAGAGAAGUGAAAGUGCUACCGGGAUAAGGGCAUGCGACGGCUGGUGUCUGUGGGGCGUGCUUCANGCUGCCUUCCAGAACGGUGUGCGGCGCGUCUGAUGGGGAGACAAGGCCGUUUGGGAAUGUGGCUCAUCCUUCGGGUGAGUGUAUAGCCCAGGUGUGCAGAGGACCUCAAGGCGCGUGCGAACUG
Molecule: ribosomal RNA, 597 nt
Filed under: uncultured Cantharellales
Lineage: Eukaryota; Fungi; Basidiomycota; Agaricomycetes; Cantharellales
Description: LSU rRNA
Rfam family: Eukaryotic large subunit ribosomal RNA
Source: RNAcentral